RNAcentral lists this long non-coding RNA (327 nucleotides) under Carica papaya (papaya). RNAcentral's name for it is "long non-coding RNA (CPAP_LNC008307)". Lineage: Eukaryota; Viridiplantae; Streptophyta; Magnoliopsida; Brassicales; Caricaceae. The record is from RNAcentral.
UACAGAUAGAUGAUUCACUCUGUUAUUGAUUCCCCGCAUUACAUUACUCCACUAACCCCUAUUCACGUUACUCAUUAGUACUAAAGGACUCAAAAUUCAAUUAUGUAAAUGGGUGCUAAUUAUUGUAAUUGGUAAGAUGGUAAACAUAUUACACAAGAAUUUGAUUCAACGGAAGAAAAUUAAUUAUGUUCUAUUAUCCAACUUACCGGAAUCCCUUUGAAAAAACUUGGAAACCAAUAUAUACAUAUAUACAUAUAGUGUGAGUAUGAUAACGAGCCGAGUCAAGUCAAUUCCAAUCCAACCACAUCUGUUUAAAAAUGAUUCUGC